UGGAAAAACUGUUGGGAAAACUUAAAGCUUC
This 31-nucleotide non-coding RNA is filed under the name Mus musculus (house mouse). Lineage: Eukaryota; Metazoa; Chordata; Mammalia; Rodentia; Muridae. The record is from RNAcentral.